RNAcentral lists this long non-coding RNA (4909 nucleotides) under Homo sapiens (human). RNAcentral describes it as "HSALNT0102169". Lineage: Eukaryota; Metazoa; Chordata; Mammalia; Primates; Hominidae. The record is from RNAcentral.
CAGGGAUGCUGUGCAGAUGGCCAGUACUUGCAGUGUGAGCCAGCUCACUGGUACACAGAAAGCUGGAGUUUGAGAGGAGAGAGCAAAAUACAAAGUGUGUGUCCUAGACUCUCCCAUCUAGCCUUCUCAUGAGAUAGGCCAACAGCCUUCAACAGGUGAUGCUUCCUUCAGUAGCCCCACCUCCCUUGGCUUCUGCCCCUGACCUGGCUCAGGAGUCUUCAUGGGAACAGUGUGCCCUUGUCUUCAUCAAAAGCAGCCCUGCAGGGAGGAGGCUCGGAAGGAACUGGUUAAGAGAUCAGAGUAACUUUUGAGCUAAUGAGGACACUAGGUGACAUCAAGCCCAAACACUUUCUGAACAAGUGGCUGGUCCUGAGAGGUGAUCGAGGUCACACAACUAUAAGAUAUAAGCAGGAACUGAAAAAUCACAUCUCCAGACUCAUCACUUGGGCUUGGCCAUGGACUUGCAUAUCAUUGCUGAGAGAAGUCUCAACAGCAGCUUAAGUACUAUUGAAGACCUCAAGAUGACAAAUUUUCUCCAUCACUUCUAAGGCUGAAUUGUCAUAUCCAAUGUGCUUUAUGACUAUGCUUUGAUUUGUGCUGAUGGAUCUAAGGUGUGCACCUCUGGAGGCUUUGAGGUGGCUAUACUUCAGUUGUGGAUAAAGAGGUGAAGAAGGACAUCUAUGGUGAUGCUCAGUAAUAUCUGCGAAGAACUGUGGAGACAGACAAAUAGUCAAAGGUGAGGUCAGUGCUUGCAAGUAUCUUCUUUUAAAAGAGUUGCCGAAUACCAAGAGGAACAUCAUGGGAAAAAUGCAACAUGAAGAAAGAGGAGAAUUUAUCACUGCAAGAGUUAUUUCAGCUGCAAGUGUUGCUAUCAAUUUUUUCCCUCUCUAGUGGUUCAUUUGAAAUAUGGGAUAGUGAGGGAUUCAUUGCUUUGUGCAUUGGAGGUUUGUUUGUGUGUUCAUUUUCAUUAACAGUCAUAUUUCCUUUCUGAUUUAUGUGAAUUCUUUUUUUUCUUUGUUUGGCAUUGUUUCUGAUUUUUAGCCCUAUAAACACUGAUUUCUCAGGAGUAACCUAAUUUCUAUCUUUUUCUUUUUUAUUUCCAUAUUAUGUCACUUUACAAAAACAAAAAAUUGGUGUCUUGAAAAUCUUUUCCUUAUUAAUCAUAAAGGUAAAGUAGAGUUUCUCUCUAAUGUGGGUUUUGCACUCAGAUGAAUGUUAUACCUUCUGGAUCUCUCUCUCAAGCUAUGUGUAAGCAGAAACCUAUUGUUUUUCCAUUUAACAGUAUGAUUGAUUACAUAUUUAAUUCAUUCCUGUUGUCAUCAGUUCCAGGCAAAUUAAAAGUGUGUAUUUCUGCCUGUCAGGAUAAUGGAGGCACUGGAAAUAACUUUCUAGAACCCUCAUAUUUUGGAUAAAAUUGCUUUCAUUCUCCUUAGCGCUGGAAGUUUCCUCUUAUCAUCUAAUCAAAUCCACUGUCAUCAUAGAAGUAGAUUAUUUGCAGAAUUUCCCUUGAUAGGUUGAUGUUGGCAUUUUUUGUGCCGGGUUAUUUUGCCAAAUUAAAAAAAUGGAUACUUUCUGUGUUAAGCACAAACUCCGUCUUGCUCUUGGAUUGGCCAUUUCUUCUAGACUCACACUCCUUCAGCACUGGCAGAGAGAAUACAGAUGACUUUCAGAAGAAGUGUGAACAUCAAGCUGAGGAGCUUUUUUGAAGAGCAGGAUCUUUCUAUCAACAUGGGAUAGUGGAAGAUUAAAGUAGUGAUGACUACAUAUAGAAAUACAAAGUUGAAGUGAGAGACGCAAGUCUGAUACUGCAAAAGAAAAAUGUAAGAAACUUAGGACUCAACUUUAUCAAUGAGUUCGUUCAACUAUAGAAAUGCACUAGGGACUGAAUGGUGUCCCCCCAAAAUUUAUAUGUCAAAGCUCUAAUCCUCAAUAUGAUGAUCUCCAGAGAUGGAACUUUGGGGUGGUAAUUGGGUUUAGAUGAGGUUAUGAGGAUGGGGUCCUCAUGAAGGGAUUAGUGCCCUUAUAAGGAGAGGCCAGAGUGCUCACUUGUUCGCAUAUGCUCUUGUAUUCUCUCUCUCUCCUCAACCCCCACCAUGUGAGGACACAACAAGAAGAUGGUUGUCUACAAGCCAGGAAGAGAACCUUCACAAGGAACCAAAUCAGCGGGCACCGUGAUCACGAGACUCCCAGCCUCCAGAACUGUGAGAAAUAAAUGUCUGCUGUUGAAGCCAUCCAGUCCACAGUAUUUUGUUACAGCAGCCUGAGCAGAUUAAAAUAAAGAAAUGUAACUUGUGAGAUAGACAGAAAGGUAAGAAAGAGAAAAUGCAACAUAAAGUCUAUGCUUAAAGGAGCGCUUAUUAGUAGUUAAGAUGAGCUAGGCAAAAUAUAAAUGGUAGAGAAAUGAAAGAUGACAACACUCAUAACUUGCUCAUUCAUGCAACAGAUACGUGCAGAGUAUCUAUUGAAGGACCCUGCACUGGUACUUAGGAAUCAAACUUAAAUCCCACCUUCAAAUCUGACAGAGAUAAGACAUAGACAGACUGUUUUUUAUUUGGGUAAAUUAUUCAUACCCAUUAAAAGAUCUGUAGAUAAAUGCCUUUGGAUUUCUAAGAGGGGAGAUAUUAUUUUCAACUGGGAGAAACACAGGAAUAUCAUUUUAUGUACUAAGUAGCAUUUGGUGUAGAGCUUAUAGAGAAAUAGAAUGUUCACAUGGAGAGAAUGCUGUAUGGGGAACUCCAGAUGGAAUAAUUGGUAUUAGCUCUGGUCCCAGAGUAGUGACUAUCUUUGCAGGAAACCUCAGGUGUAAUCUUAUGGACCUCUGGAAAGACUGUAACAAAAUAACUAUUUAUGGAGAUGACUGGCAAAGUUAAGGACACGGACAAGGGACAUGAGGGGCCUAGGGACAGGCAACAGUGAGAAGUCACUCCUAGGAAAGAGUGUUCAGGGAGCCAGUGAAGAGUGUAGCCAUGUAGAAAGAAUGGCCUGACAGAGCAUUCAUCCUAGAGGGAUGCAGCUGCUGCAAGAGCCAUGAUGCUGAUGCAGGAGGAGAAGAGGGAGACAGAAGGAGACAGGAAGAGACAGGAGGAAAAGCCUCAGCCUCUCCCUUCCCACUCUCCAACCUCCCUGCUUGAACGCUCACCAGCUGAUCCCAACAAGAAACACAGUCAGUAGGAACAGCUCUGGAGCACAGCUUGAGGUAGAAAAUGGAGCAGGGUAGGGACCAAGUGGAAAAUAAUUGCCAUAGCUACUGAGACAGGAGAGAAGAAAAUGUGUAUAUGAGAAAACAGUUUGUUUUGGCUAGAAUAAAUGAUGCAUGAGGGCAAAAAGCCAGAGUGUGCUUAUAAAAGUAAGUGGUAGCUGAAACUCAUCAGAAUAAUGACAAAAUAAAGGGAAACGAAAAGACGUAUGAAUCUGGUGCUUAACUCAUCAGGGAUGUUUGGCGCCUUUCCUGGAAAUUACAGAUAAAAGCAACAGGAGUGGAGAGAAAUGACAUCAGAACAUAAGAGGUACCACAAAAUAUGAGUUAGUUUUUAGAAAUGUGAAUGUAGCAGUGGCCAAGAAGAGGCAGUAGAGAGAAAGCAGUACUCUGAUUCCUCCAUCUCACUCAAUGAGGUGAACAGGAAGAAUGCCAUUUAUUUUCUCGGACAAAGGCAGCAUAGUCUUUAGACACUUGCUUGGAUCAGGAGGGACAGGCUACUUCCAUGAUUUGGGUCAUUGUGAGGGAAGUAGUUAAGAAAAAAAAAAGAAGGACAGGAGAUAAGGGAACUAUUUGCGGGACUAGUAGAAAGAAGGCAGCAGUGAGAGCAGGGACAGGUGGAACAGAGCUAAAGAGGAAAGAGAGAAGGAAAAGGGAUGGCAGGGGAUGGUGAUUUUUAAUGGCAGGAUCAGAGAGUCACGUUGUCGGAAAGUUGAACAAAUAUAUAUUAGCCCCUGUGGGAAUUCUAGAGAGGAAAACCAGCCAUGAGACCUUUCUAAGUAUAUACUCUUAAGAGAAAUAUUGAUGUAGUAUUCAACCUCAGAGGUUAAGGAAUAGUGGGUUUCAGGAAGGACCUGGAGGGUGGUCAGCUGCACACGUAGAGGUGUGCUGCAGCCAGCUUGUACCAGCUCCUGAGAAUCAAUUGUGCACAUCUCUUUCCAACUCUGGGCUCUGUGGCUUCACAUAAACACCAAAAUAUGUCAUGGUAGGUGUAGUUCUACCCAUAGAAACUGGCAAAUGCUACAGAUGAGGGUUCCCUUCUCACAAAGUCAACUAUCAACCCCAGAGCCUCUUAUUAAACCUUUACCAGCACACCACUGAUCUGCUGCAGCUUCAAUUUGAGGACAGGUUGUUGCAAUGAGCACUGAGGAAGGUGUUGCAUGAGAACAUGUUCAUGAAAGAAGCAGCACCCUCUGCCAAAGAUCACCGGGUGAGUGUGUGCUGAGCAGGUGCAGGCAUGGUCCUCCUUAAAAGACUGGAAUCAGAGGCUGCUCAUUGAUUAGAACUACAUUUUGAUCAAGCUGAGAGAAUUCCAGGUGAUACAACCUGGAAUAAGCUAAGCAAAUAAAAAUAAGUCAUCAACAACCUGUCAGGCAUGCGGAAUUCAGUGAAUAGAAAAUUAACCCAUUCCUCUGAACUAAGCAAUGCUUGAUUUAGCUUCAGUGAGCCUUACAAGUGGAAGCUGGCACUUUCUUCCUGUUUGUUUGUAUCUACUGCAAGAAGUAAAAAUACAUACCACCUACCUGAAGCCUGUCAUGGUACUUGUGUUUCUGUAGGAAUAUUUUCUACAACAUCUUAAGUUACUGCUAGAAAUUGCCAGCAAUUGUGUCUGUGUUUUCCCAUUUUUGAAAGAAAUUAAUACUCUCAAUGCCUUAGAGUUGCUCCUUCCCACCUUCUGAUGCCUUGUCCUGGGCUUAGUGGAUGUAAAUUAAC